AAAGGCUCCGAUGACUUGUGGUUAGGGGUGAUAGGCCAAUCAAACUGGGAAAUAGCUGGUUCUCCGCGAAAGAUAUUUAGGUAUCGCCUCGCAUGAAUGCUUCGGGGGGUAGAGCACUGGAUGGGCUAGGGGGACUUACCGUCUUACCAAACCCAACCAAACUCCGAAUACCCGAAAGCAAUAUGCGGGAGUCACACGGCGGGUGCUAACGUCCGUCGUGGAGAGGGAAACAACCCGGACCUACAGCUAAGGCCCCUAAUUCGUGGCUAAGUGGGAAAGGAUGUGGAAAUCCCAAAACAACCAGGAGGUUGGCUUAGAAGCAGCCAUCCUUUAAAGAAAGCGUAACAGCUCACUGGUCUAAAUAAGGGUUUCUGCGCCGAAGAUGUAACGGGGCUCAAGCCACGAGCCGAAGCUUAGGGUGUGCGCGCAAGCGUACGCGGUAGCGGAGCGUUCUGUAAGCCUGCGAAGGGCGACUCGUGAGAGCGCCUGGAGGUAUCAGAAGUGCGAAUGCUGGCAUGAGUAACGACAAACACUGUGAAAGACAGUGUCGCCGAAAGUCCAAGGGUUCCUGCGUAAAGUUAAUCUUCGCAGGGUUAGCCGGUCCCUAAGGCGAGGCCGAAAGGCGUAGUCGAUGGGAAUGCAGUGAAUAUUCUGCAGCCAGUGGAUGGUGACGAAUCUCGUAUGUUGUCCGAUCUUAAUGGAUUGAUCGGGCCUCGAAGAGGUUCCAGGAAAUAGCCUCCACAUUAGACCGUACCCGAAACCGACACAGGUGGACUGGUAGAGUAUACCAAGGCGCUUGAGAGAAUGAUGUUGAAGGAACUCGGCAAUUUACCUCCGUAACUUCGGGAUAAGGAGGCCCAUUGCAUGCGCAAGCAUGCCGUGGGGGCACAGACCAGGGGGUGGCAACUGUUUAACAAAAACACAGGGCUCUGCGAAAUCGCAAGAUGACGUAUAGGGUCUGACGCCUGCCCGGUGCCGGAAGGUUAAUUGAAUUCCCCGUGAAGAUGCGGGGUUCCUGCGGUCAGACGGAAAGACCCCGUGCACCUUUACUGUAGCUUUGCGCUGGUAUUCGUGACUGUUUGUGUAGAAUAGGUGGUAGACUUUGAAGCUUCGGCGCCAGCCGAGGUGGAGUCGCAAUGUGAAAUACCACCCUAAUGGUUAUGGAUAUCUAACCGCGUCCCCUUAUCGGGGAUCGGGACAGCGCAUGGUGGGCAGUUUGACUGGGGCGGUCGCCUCCCAAAGAGUAACGGAGGCGUGCGAAGGUAGGCUCAGAACGGUCGGAAAUCGUUCGUCGAGUAUAAUGGCAUAAGCCUGCCUGACUGCGAGACUAACAAGUCGAGCAGAGACGAAAGUCGGUCAUAGUGAUCCGGUGGUCCCGCGUGGAUGGGCCAUCGCUCAACGGAUAAAAGGUACGCCGGGGAUAACAGGCUGAUGACGCCCAAGAGUCCAUAUCGACGGCGUCGUUUGGCACCUCGAUGUCGGCUCAUCACAUCCUGGGGCUGGAGGAGCAGUUGUCGCGCCAGCGGCAGUGCUGCAUAGCUAUGUACGGACGGGAUAACCGCUGAAAGCAUCUAAGCGGGAAACCCACCUCAAAACGAGCAUUCCCUUGAGAACCGUGGAAGACGACCACGUUGAUAGGCCGGGUGUGUAAGUGCGGCAACGCAUGUAGCUUACCGGUACUAAUCGUUCGAUUGGCUUGAUUGCUCUCAUUUU
RNAcentral lists this ribosomal RNA (1713 nucleotides) under Bradyrhizobium sp. Its description in RNAcentral is "partial 23S ribosomal RNA". It matches the Rfam family "Bacterial large subunit ribosomal RNA", at positions 794 to 2925 of the family's 2925-position model. The record is from RNAcentral. Lineage: Bacteria; Pseudomonadati; Pseudomonadota; Alphaproteobacteria; Hyphomicrobiales; Nitrobacteraceae.